This 465-nucleotide ribosomal RNA is filed under the name uncultured bacterium. Its description in RNAcentral is "partial 16S ribosomal RNA". It matches the Rfam family "Bacterial small subunit ribosomal RNA", at positions 338 to 795 of the family's 1533-position model. The record is from RNAcentral.
CCUACGGGUGGCAGCAGUGGGGAAUAUUGCGCAAUGGGCGAAAGCCUGACGCAGCGACGCCGCGUGAGGGAUGAAGGUCUUCGGAUCGUAAACCUCUGUCAGCAGGGAAGAACGGUCACUGUGCUAAUCAGCAGUGAAUUGACGGUACCUGCAAAGGAAGCACCGGCUAACUCCGUGCCAGCAGCCGCGGUAAUACGGAGGGUGCGAGCGUUAAUCGGAAUUACUGGGAGGAAAGCGCUCGUAGGCGGGAUGUCAAGUCAAGGGGGAAAUCCCCGCGCUCAACGUGGGAACUGCCGUUGAAACUGGCAAACUGGAGUGUGUGAGAGGAUAGUGGAAUUCCAGGUGUAGGAGUGAAAUCCGUAGAUAUCUGGAGGAACAUCAGUGGCGAAGGCGACUAUCUGGCACAUAACUGACGCUGAGGAGCGAAAGCGUGGGUAGCAAACAGGAUUAGAUACCCGAGUAGUC